CAGUAGCCGCGGGAAUACAGAGGGUGCGAGCGUUAAUCGGAUUUACUGGGCGUAAAGCGUGCGUAGGCGGCUUCUUAAGUCGGAUGUGAAAUCCCUGAGCUUAACUUAGGAAUUGCAUUCGAUACUGGGAAGCUAGAGUAUGGGAGAGGAUGGUAGAAUUCCAGGUGUAGCGGUGAAAUGCGUAGAGAUCUGGAGGAAUACCGAUGGCGAAGGCAGCCAUCUGGCCUAAUACUGACGCUGAGGUACGAAAGCAUGGGGAGCAAACAGGAUUAGAUACCCCGGGUAGUCCCUGUCUCUUAUU
Molecule: ribosomal RNA, 301 nt
Filed under: uncultured bacterium
Lineage: Bacteria
Description: partial 16S ribosomal RNA
Rfam family: Bacterial small subunit ribosomal RNA
Source: RNAcentral